GAGUAAGUCUUUCGCGACCAGCUCCCCUCGAAUCCCCCAGGACAGGAAUGUAGCAAGGGUAGUUGGGUUGAGCGGUGCGAUGAAAGUAGCUUGCUCUC
This 98-nucleotide signal recognition particle RNA is filed under the name uncultured Mucinivorans sp. RNAcentral's name for it is "Bacteroidales small SRP". It matches the Rfam family "Bacteroidales small SRP". Rfam says of the family: The non-coding component of the signal recognition particle in Bacteroides The record is from RNAcentral. Lineage: Bacteria; Pseudomonadati; Bacteroidota; Bacteroidia; Bacteroidales; Rikenellaceae.